GUGUCAGCCGCCGCGGUAAUACGUAGGGUGCGAGCGUUGUCCGGAAUUAUUGGGCGUAAAGAGCUCGUAGGCGGUUUGUCGCGUCUAUCGUGAAAACUGGAGGCUUAACUUUCAGCGUGCGGUGGAUACGGGCAGACUUGAGUUCGGUAGGGGAGACUGGAAUUCCUGGUGUAGCGGUGAAAUGCGCAGAUAUCAGGAGGAACACCGGUGGCGAAGGCGGGUCUCUGGGCCGAUACUGACGCUGAGGAGCGAAAGCGUGGGGAGCGAACAGGAUUAGAUACCCUCGUAGUCC
RNAcentral lists this ribosomal RNA (292 nucleotides) under uncultured bacterium. RNAcentral's name for it is "partial 16S ribosomal RNA". It matches the Rfam family "Bacterial small subunit ribosomal RNA", at positions 505 to 796 of the family's 1533-position model. The record is from RNAcentral.